AACGCGAAGAACCUUACCUGGGCUCGAACGGCUUAAGAUCAACGGUAGAAAUACUGUCUUCUCGCAAGAGACUUGAGUCGAGGUGCUGCAUGGCUGUCGUCAGCUCGUGUCGUGAGAUGUUGGGUUAAGUCCCGCAACGAGCGCAACCCUUGUCCUGUGUUGCCAUCAUUUAGUUGGGCACUCUCAGGAGACCGCCAGCGAUAAGCUGGAGGAAGGUGGGGAUGAUGUCAAGUCAUCAUGGCCUUUAUGUCCAGGGCUACACACGUGCUACAAUGGCCGGUACAAAGCGCUGCAAACUCGCAAGAGGGAGCUAAUCGCAAAAAACCGGUCUCAGUUCGGAUCGCAGGCUGCAACUCGCCUGCGUGAAGCUGGAAUCGCUAGUAAUGCCGUAUCAGAACGAUGGCGUGAAUACGUUCCCGGGCCUUGUA
RNAcentral lists this ribosomal RNA (428 nucleotides) under uncultured Acidobacterium sp. RNAcentral's name for it is "bacterial SSU rRNA". It matches the Rfam family "Bacterial small subunit ribosomal RNA", at positions 958 to 1385 of the family's 1533-position model. The record is from RNAcentral. Lineage: Bacteria; Pseudomonadati; Acidobacteriota; Terriglobia; Terriglobales; Acidobacteriaceae.